GCUGACGAGUGGCGGACGGGUGAGUAAUGUCUGGGAAACUGCCUGAUGGAGGGGGAUAACUACUGGAAACGGUAGCUAAUACCGCAUAACGUCGCAAGACCAAAGAGGGGGACCUUCGGGCCUCUUGCCAUCGGAUGUGCCCAGAUGGGAUUAGCUAGUAGGUGGGGUAACGGCUCACCUAGGCGACGAUCCCUAGCUGGUCUGAGAGGAUGACCAGCCACACUGGAACUGAGACACGGUCCAGACUCCUACGGGAGGCAGCAGUGGGGA
RNAcentral lists this ribosomal RNA (270 nucleotides) under Escherichia coli. RNAcentral's name for it is "partial 16S ribosomal RNA". It matches the Rfam family "Bacterial small subunit ribosomal RNA", at positions 87 to 360 of the family's 1533-position model. RNAcentral also lists the same sequence under 1 other name. The record is from RNAcentral. Lineage: Bacteria; Pseudomonadati; Pseudomonadota; Gammaproteobacteria; Enterobacterales; Enterobacteriaceae.